RNAcentral lists this ribosomal RNA (409 nucleotides) under uncultured bacterium. RNAcentral describes it as "bacterial SSU rRNA". It matches the Rfam family "Bacterial small subunit ribosomal RNA", at positions 359 to 764 of the family's 1533-position model. The record is from RNAcentral.
AGGAUUGGCAUGGGCGAAAGCCUGAUCAGCCUGCCGCGUGUGUGAAGAAGGCCUUUUGGUUGUAAAGCACUUUAAGCGAGGAGGAGGCUACUUAGAUUAAUACUCUAGGAUAGUGGACGUUACUCGCAGAAUAAGCACCGGCUAACUCUGUGCCAGCAGCCGCGGUAAUACAGAGGGUGCGAGCGUUAAUCGGAUUUACUGGGCGUAAAGCGUGCGUAGGCGGCUUCUUAAGUCGGAUGUGAAAUCCCUGAGCUUAACUUAGGAAUUGCAUUCGAUACUGGGAAGCUAGAGUAUGGGAGAGGAUGGUAGAAUUCCAGGUGUAGCGGUGAAAUGCGUAGAGAUCUGGAGGAAUACCGAUGGCGAAGGCAGCCAUCUGGCCUAAUACUGACGCUGAGGUACGAAAGCAUGG